AUGGCUUUUGGCGACUACCCCGCGGAGUACAAUCCCAAGGUGCAUGGUCCCUAUGACCCUGCACGGUUCUACGGCAAACGUAAGU
RNAcentral lists this long non-coding RNA (85 nucleotides) under Lutzomyia longipalpis. RNAcentral describes it as "sphinx_ conserved region 1". It matches the Rfam family "Sphinx_ conserved region 1", at positions 6 to 90 of the family's 100-position model. Lineage: Eukaryota; Metazoa; Arthropoda; Insecta; Diptera; Psychodidae. The record is from RNAcentral.